This 748-nucleotide ribosomal RNA is filed under the name Gordonia sp. (in: high G+C Gram-positive bacteria). Its description in RNAcentral is "bacterial SSU rRNA". It matches the Rfam family "Bacterial small subunit ribosomal RNA", at positions 56 to 818 of the family's 1533-position model. The record is from RNAcentral. Lineage: Bacteria; Bacillati; Actinomycetota; Actinomycetes; Mycobacteriales; Gordoniaceae.
UGCAAGUCGAACGGAAAGGCCCAGCUUGCUGGGUACUCGAGUGGCGAACGGGUGAGUACACGUGGGUGAUCUGCCCUGCACUCUGGGAUAAGCCUGGGAAACUGGGUCUAAUACCGGAUAUGACCAACUGUCGCAUGGUGGUUGGUGGAAAGCUUUUGCGGUGUGGGAUGGGCCCGCGGCCUAUCAGCUUGUUGGUGGGGUAAUGGCCUACCAAGGCGACGACGGGUAGCCGACCUGAGAGGGUGAUCGGCCACACUGGGACUGAGACACGGCCCAGACUCCUACGGGAGGCAGCAGUGGGGAAUAUUGCACAAUGGGCGCAAGCCUGAUGCAGCGACGCCGCGUGAGGGAUGACGGCCUUCGGGUUGUAAACCUCUUUCACCAGGGACGAAGCGUGAGUGACGGUACCUGGAGAAGAAGCACCGGCCAACUACGUGCCAGCAGCCGCGGUAAUACGUAGGGUGCGAGCGUUGUCCGGAAUUACUGGGCGUAAAGAGCUCGUAGGCGGUUUGUCGCGUCGUCUGUGAAAUUCUGCAACUCAAUUGCAGGCGUGCAGGCGAUACGGGCAGACUUGAGUACUACAGGGGAGACUGGAAUUCCUGGUGUAGCGGUGAAAUGCGCAGAUAUCAGGAGGAACACCGGUGGCGAAGGCGGGUCUCUGGGUAGUAACUGACGCUGAGGAGCGAAAGCGUGGGUAGCGAACAGGAUUAGAUACCCUGGUAGUCCACGCCGUAAACGGUGGGUACUA